GAUGAACGCUGGCGGCGUGCCUAAUACAUGCAAGUCGAGCGAACAGAUGAGGAGCUUGCUCCUCUGACGUUAGCGGCGGACGGGUGAGUAACACGUGGAUAACCUACCUAUAAGACUGGGAUAACUUCGGGAAACCGGAGCUAAUACCGGAUAAUAUAUUGAACCGCAUGGUUCAAUAGUGAAAGACGGUUUUGCUGUCACUUAUAGAUGGAUCCGCGCCGCAUUAGCUAGUUGGUAAGGUAACGGCUUACCAAGGCAACGAUGCGUAGCCGACCUGAGAGGGUGAUCGGCCACACUGGAACUGAGACACGGUCCAGACUCCUACGGGAGGCAGCAGUAGGGAAUCUUCCGCAAUGGGCGAAAGCCUGACGGAGCAACGCCGCGUGAGUGAUGAAGGUCUUCGGAUCGUAAAACUCUGUUAUUGGGGAAGAACAAAUGUGUAAGUAACUAUACACGUCUUGACGGUACCUAAUCAGAAAGCCACGGCUAACUACGUG
This 497-nucleotide ribosomal RNA is filed under the name uncultured bacterium. RNAcentral describes it as "partial 16S ribosomal RNA". It matches the Rfam family "Bacterial small subunit ribosomal RNA", at positions 28 to 507 of the family's 1533-position model. The record is from RNAcentral.